GAUGAACGCUGGCGGCAGGCCUAACACAUGCAAGUCGAGCGAGGUUUUCGGACCUAGCGGCGGACGGGUGAGUAACGCGUGGGAACGUGCCCUUUGCUACGGAAUAGCCCCGGGAAACUGGGAGUAAUACCGUAUGUGCCCUUCGGGGGAAAGAUUUAUCGGCAAAGGAUCGGCCCGCGUUGGAUUAGGUAGUUGGUGGGGUAAUGGCCUACCAAGCCGACGAUCCAUAGCUGGUUUGAGAGGAUGAUCAGCCACACUGGGACUGAGACACGGCCCAGACUCCUACGGGAGGCAGCAGUGGGGAAUCUUAGACAAUGGGGGAAACCCUGAUCUAGCCAUGCCGCGUGAGCGAUGAAGGCCUUAGGGUUGUAAAGCUCUUUCAGGUGGGAAGAUAAUGACGGUACCACCAGAAGAAGCCCCGGCUAACUCCGUGCCAGCCGCCGCGGUAA
RNAcentral lists this ribosomal RNA (449 nucleotides) under uncultured bacterium. Its description in RNAcentral is "partial 16S ribosomal RNA". It matches the Rfam family "Bacterial small subunit ribosomal RNA", at positions 28 to 523 of the family's 1533-position model. The record is from RNAcentral.